UAAUAGUAACGAAAAACUGCUUACGCAUGCGCAGCCUGACAACACGUAUUCGUUCGAAACUCGAAAGGUCAAUGCACGUAUGUUGGACCGGAGCAGGGAAAGCAACGCUCAGUGCCGAAGUUGGAAGAAACGAACGACCUUUGGUCCCAAGAGAAGAGAAGACCGUCAUCUUGAGUUUCAUAAAACCCAGUGGUGGUAGACUUGACACACAGCAAUUCAGGAUCUUCCCUUGAAUUUGAGAGAGAAGGGCUUCAUUUCAAAGACCAUUCUGCAUUCUACAGAGUACCGAGGCUUGGGAGAACAACACAACGGCAUGCAAAUGGGAAUUCUAGAAGUGAUGGAUCAGCAUUUCCAUAUCAAGAUCAUUCUCCAAUGCAAUUGAUGAUGCAGUUGACCUGAAAGUGCAUGGAUAACAUUUAUUAUCCUUUAGAGCAGAGGUGGACAGUGGCUGGAACAAUUGAGCUCCAACCCUAAUCAAACACACCUGCCUUAAUUUUUUUCCUGGAGAUCUUCAUUGAUUUGUUCAGGUAUGUCAGAUUAGGGUUGGAGCUAAAUUCUUCAGAACAGUGAUUCUCCAGGACAGGAGUUGGUCCCUCCUAACCUAGAGGAUAACAAGGACUGUGUACUAUACAGUAUAUUCUUUCUUUCUUUCUUUCUUUCUUUCUUUCUUUCUUUCUUUCUUUCUUUCUUUCUUUCUUUCUUUCUUUCUUUCUUUCUUUCUUUCUUGUCACAGUUAUUUCAGUUUUAUGAUUGUGCUGAAAUUCUUUGGGAACAUACACUGGCAUCAGUUCUACAAAUAUUUGUCAGAUAAUGUGUUUUCAGAUGUUUAAUAUGUUUAAAAUGUAUGUAUUUUCUUUCUUCCAAAGUCACUUUGGAUAAAAGCAUCUGCCUAAUGAAUAAAUGUAAAUGUAAAUGUAGUUUGAUGGAGCUGCUUCUAAGCUGCUUGUAAGAGCCAUCUUGAAUGUAUGCAACAUUAUUUUUCUGUCAAGUGUUUUUGCUCUAUAAUCUAAGGUGAAAUA
Molecule: long non-coding RNA, 1019 nt
Organism: Xyrauchen texanus (razorback sucker)
Lineage: Eukaryota; Metazoa; Chordata; Actinopteri; Cypriniformes; Catostomidae
Exons: 3
Source: RefSeq, a predicted model, not a curated record